Molecule: long non-coding RNA, 3083 nt
Filed under: Sus scrofa (pig)
Lineage: Eukaryota; Metazoa; Chordata; Mammalia; Artiodactyla; Suidae
Description: lncRNA (ENSSSCG00030058553.1, ENSSSCG00060032044.1)
Source: RNAcentral
AUAUAUAACUAUUUUUCAUUAAAUAUAUUAUGCUAACAUGUAAUAGGUUUAUAAUAAGUAACUCAAAUAACAAACAGUUUAAAUUUUUUUGUUUUAACUUUUAAUGCAGUAAAUAUCAUAUCUAAACUUAUAUAAACAAAGUUUUUGAGAUCUUCAAUGAUUUUUAAGAGUGUAAAGAGGUUCUGGGGCCUCUACUAGAGUAGAACCACUACUCUAAAUAGUUGUUUUUUUGUUUUUUGUCUUUUUGCCUUUUCUAGGGCCGCUCCUGCGGCAUAUGGAGGUUCCCAGGCUAGGGGUCCAAUCGGAGCUAUAGCCACCAGCCUAAGCCAGAGCCACAGCAACGCGGGAUCCGAGCCGUGUCUGCAACCUACACCACAGCUCACGGCAACGCCAGAUCGUUAACCCACUGAGCAAGGGCAGGGACUGAACCUGCAACCUCAUGGUUCCUACUCAGAUUCAUUAACCACUGCGCCACGACGGGAACUCCCUAAAUAGUUCUCCAAACUUGGGCUAGUCUCCUUUGACUAUUCACAGGAAGAUAGUGCUUAGGGCUAAAGGGGUGGUAGAAAAUGAUCACUUCCUGGUAAGUUUAGGCAGGGGAAUAUUGUGAGGAAGGAUCUUCAGAAAUUAGAGUUAGCAUUGUAACAGUUCAUUCUCACAGUGUUGGGCAGGUCUAACAGAGUAGGACCAUUGAGUUUAAGGAAGGCAAAACAAGCCCUCUGAGGAAAGAUAGGCUGCAAGUCAGUAUUGAGGAAAAAGAAAGAGCUGAAACCCUUUUCAAAAGUUUUUUUUUUUAAAUCUUUUGCCUUUUUUUUGGGCUGCACCCAUGGCAUACGGAGGUUCCCAGGCUAGGGGUUUUUAAUUAGAGCUGUAGCCCUGGCUGACACCAUAGCCACAGCAAUGCGGGAUCUGAGUGAAGUCUGCGACCUACGCUAUCUCUCACAGCAAUGCCAGAUCCUCAACCCACUGAGCGAGGCCAGGGAUCAAACCCAGGUCCUCAUGGAUGUCAGUCAGAUUCGUUUCCGCUGAGCCAUAACCGGAAGUCCCCAAAACCCCUUUUGAUUAGAAAUUCUGGUUGCUUUCAAUAUGUGUGUCCCUAAUCUAUUUAUAGAACUUCUCCUUUCCUGAUCAAAAAAGACAAAAGGGAUCACAACUGAAUCUCACUGUGGGCCCACAAUUUCUCCUCAAGAAGUCAUAAUAGAAAGUGUUAAAGGAGUUCCCUGGUGGUGCAGGGGAUUAAGGAUCUGGUAUUGUCACUGCUGUGGCUCAGGUUGCUGCUGUGCAGGUUUGAUCCAUGGCCCAGGAAAUUCCAUAUGCUGUGGGCAGGCCAGAAAACUUUUUAAAAUAAAAAAUAAAUUGAAGUUCCCACUGUGGCACAAUGGGUUAAGGAUCUGGUGUUGCCUUAGCUGUGCAUAGGUUGCAGCUGAGGCUUGGGUUGGAUCCUGGCCUUGAAAUUUCCACAUAAUAAAUAUUUUUUUAAAUUAAAAAUAACAAAAUAAAUUAAAAAGAGUGUUAGGACAGUGCAUUGGUGGAAUGGUACUUUGGUCAACUCUCAAAAUUUAGCUUAAAGAUUGAUGAGGGAAGCCCUCUAUUGUCUAUCUCCUCUUCAAUCAAUAAGAAAACAAAGUCAGCCCUGAGGCUCAGGACCUUUGGGAUUCUUACAGUCUGAGGGUAGAAAGUGAUGUAUAUACCUGAGUAUUAUUUAGACACUGAAUUUAAUAAGGAGAAAACGCCACAAGAAACCAUUUGACUCAUUUCAGUUGCUCAGGGUCCUGAAAUUUCCGUCUCAGUGUGAUGAAAAGAAUUAAAGUAUGAGCUAACUCAAAAAUGGGUUGCUGUCUAAGAGGAAAGGGAAAGAAUGGGAACCAGUUCUAGCUUCAGAAGGGAUUGUUCUGAAAUUAGGAAAAAGAACAUCACCAGUGAGGUCACAGCAAGAACUGGAAUCCCCCAGGAGGCUCUACAGUCCUUGGUUUGGUCAUUGCAGGAAGCUUUCCUGAUAGCACCCUGGAUAUAGACAUAGGCCAUCCUGGUAACCAAUUAUCAUUUAUUUUCCUCAAGACUUAGGUGUGAGGAAACUAAAGAAUAGUGAUAUAUGUGAACCCCAGAGUCAGCCUGCCUGGAUUGAUGUUGUAUCCCAUGGUCUCAAUAUCCUUCCCUGUAAAAUGGGAAGAAUGAUAGUACUGACUUUAUAAGAUUCUUAUGAGGAUUACCUAAGAUACUGCAUACAAGAAACUCAACACAAGACAUGGCACAUAACUAAGUGCCUAAUAAAUGGAAGUUAUUAUUAGGGAGAGUCUUUGCUUCCUAUUCCCAUCUGUGAGCAGUUUUUCCAUUACUUUUCAACAGAAGCCUUUUCUCUCCAAGAUGCUGAUCUUGGAGGCAUCUGGUCCCUGAGUCAUCACUAAGAUGCUGGGUUUCUGAAGUCAUUCCUUCUACUCUUCUCUAAGGGCUCCCUCUCCUGACUGCUUAACUCUCGCGGAGGCUCAGGUCCACAAUCCAGGCAGGGAGUGUAGGUAGGGCUUGGCCACCUGUCUCAGGAGAAAGGUUCCCAGUCCCCUUAGGAGUCUCCCUAAGACUUGAGAGACCCACCGGACACAGAGAAAUGCCCCAGCCCAGAAACAGGAGUGAGGUAGGGAGGUGAGAGUGAGGUUGAGGAAGGGGGCGCGCUCCCGAGGUUCGCGCGAGGCCACACCCCGAAGUCAGUUUGCUGGUGGGCGGAGCCACACGCGGAGGUGAGCAGCUGGGGGCGGGCAACAACCCGUGGUGGAAACAAGGCCAAGGUCGUGGCCGCGGCCCGGCCGCCGGGACGCUUAGGAAUGGCCAGUCCUCUCCACAGGCGGCGCGCGCAGCCGCCCAGGGCAGGAGGCAACGCAGAGAUUAAGGCUGCCGAAGCCACCUGAGCGCCACUGAGGAGACCCAUGAAUCCGCGAAUCGCGAACGGGCGAGGCUAACAGUACUUGGAACAAGAGAAACAUGAACUAAAGACGAUUUGAGAACCGAGAAGGGGAGUGGACAGGGCACGUGUCCUAGCUGAAGAGUCGUGUGAAACAACUCCAGGAUGAGUCAGAGAGGCAGCAGGUUCA